RNAcentral lists this ribosomal RNA (501 nucleotides) under uncultured bacterium. RNAcentral describes it as "partial 16S ribosomal RNA". It matches the Rfam family "Bacterial small subunit ribosomal RNA", at positions 30 to 523 of the family's 1533-position model. The record is from RNAcentral.
AUUGAACGCUGGCGGCAGGCUUAACACAUGCAAGUCGAGCGGGGGGAGGUAGCUUGCUACCGGACCUAGCGGCGGACGGGUGAGUAAUGCUUAGGAAUCUGCCUAUUAGUGGGGGACAACAUCUCGAAAGGGAUGCUAAUACCGCAUACGUCCUACGGGAGAAAGCAGGGGAUCUUCGGACCUUGCGCUAAUAGAUGAGCCUAAGUCGGAUUAGCUAGUUGGUGGGGUAAAGGCCUACCAAGGCGACGAUCUGUAGCGGGUCUGAGAGGAUGAUGCGCCACACUGGGACUGAGACACGGCCCAGACUCCUACGGGAGGCAGCAGUGGGGAAUAUUGGACAAUGGGGGGAACCCUGAUCCAGCCAUGCCGCGUGUGUGAAGAAGGCCUUAUGGUUGUAAAGCACUUUAAGCGAGGAGGAGGCUACUCUAGUUAAUACCUAGGGAUAGUGGACGUUACUCGCAGAAUAAGCACCGGCUAACUCUGUGCCAGCCGCCGCGGUAA